This 81-nucleotide transfer RNA is filed under the name Polyporus arcularius HHB13444. It matches the Rfam family "tRNA". From Rfam's summary of the family: Transfer RNA (tRNA) molecules are approximately 80 nucleotides in length. Their secondary structure includes four short double-helical elements and three loops (D, anti-codon, and T loops). Further hydrogen bonds mediate the characteristic L-shaped molecular structure. tRNAs have two regions of fundamental functional importance: the anti-codon, which is responsible for specific mRNA codon recognition, and the 3' end, to which the tRNAs corresponding amino acid is attached (by aminoacyl-tRNA synthetases). tRNAs cope with the degeneracy of the genetic code in two manners: having more than one tRNA (with a specific anti-codon) for a particular amino acid; and 'wobble' base-pairing, i.e. permitting non-standard base-pairing at the 3rd anti-codon position. The record is from Rfam by way of RNAcentral. Lineage: Eukaryota; Fungi; Basidiomycota; Agaricomycetes; Polyporales; Polyporaceae.
GGCGCUAUAGUGUAGUGGUUAUCACUCGGGAUUCUGACUUGUCACAUUCCCGAGACCCAGGUUCGAUCCCUGGUAGCGCCU